This 440-nucleotide ribosomal RNA is filed under the name uncultured bacterium. Its description in RNAcentral is "partial 16S ribosomal RNA". It matches the Rfam family "Bacterial small subunit ribosomal RNA", at positions 338 to 795 of the family's 1533-position model. The record is from RNAcentral.
CCUACGGGAGACAGCAGUGGGGAAUAUUGCACAAUGGGGGAAACCCUGAUGCAGCAACGCCGCGUGAGUGAAGAAGGAUUUCGGUAUGUAAAGCUCUAUCAGCAGGGAAGAAAAUGACGGUACCUGAGUAAGAAGCCCCGUCUAACUACGGGCCAGCAGCCGCAGUAAUACGUGGGGGGCAAGCGUUAUCCGGAUUGACUGGGUGUAAAGGGAGCGUAGACGGCGAUAAAAGUCUGAAGGGAAAGCCGGGGGCCCAACCCCGGGACUGCUGUGGAAACUGUGUUGCUGGAGUGCUGGAGAGGCAAGCGGAAUGCCUAGUGUAGCGGUGAAAUGCGUAGAUAUUAGGAAGAACACCGAUGGCGAAGGCAGCUUGCUGGACAGUAACUGACGUUGAGGCUCGAAAGCGUGGGGAGCAAACAGGAUUAGAUACCCCAGUAGUC